This 311-nucleotide small RNA is filed under the name uncultured bacterium. RNAcentral describes it as "bacterial SSU rRNA". It matches the Rfam family "Bacterial small subunit ribosomal RNA", at positions 55 to 353 of the family's 1533-position model. The record is from RNAcentral.
UGGGUAAGGGAUGAAAGUCAAGGUGACCUAUUACGAUGUUAGGUGGGGAACGUGUGCCCCACAUUGGGGAGACGUAACUUGUACAUGGGGAUAAUGUGCAGAAAGCCGAGCUAUUACUGAAUAAUACUUUACUCUUUAUGGAGGAAAUUUUGUAAUGAGAUUAUGUAUACAGUAUUAGAUGGGGCUUCGGCACAUUAUCUAGUUGGUGAGGUAAGGUUCACCAAUGUUACUAUGCCUUACCCACCUGAUAUGGUGAUCGGACACACUGGGACUGAGACACAGUCCAUACUUUUACGGGAGGCAGCAGUGGG